This 950-nucleotide ribosomal RNA is filed under the name Campylobacter coli. RNAcentral's name for it is "partial 23S ribosomal RNA". It matches the Rfam family "Bacterial large subunit ribosomal RNA", at positions 235 to 1188 of the family's 2925-position model. Lineage: Bacteria; Pseudomonadati; Campylobacterota; Epsilonproteobacteria; Campylobacterales; Campylobacteraceae. The record is from RNAcentral.
UUGCGUCAGUAGCGGCGAGCGAAAGCGCAAGAGGGCAAACCCAGUGCUUGCACUGGGGGUUGUAGGACUGCAAUGUGCAAGAGGUGAGUUUAGCAGAACAUUCUGGAAAGUAUAGCCAUAGAGGGUGAUAGUCCCGUAUGCGAAAAACAAACCUUAGCUAGCAGUAUCCUGAGUAGGGCGGGACACGAGAAAUCCUGUCUGAAGCUGGGUCGACCACGAUCCAACCCUAAAUACUAAUACCAGAUCGAUAGUGCACAAGUACCGUGAGGGAAAGGUGAAAAGAACUGAGGUGAUCAGAGUGAAAUAGAACCUGAAACCAUUUGCUUACAAUCAUUCAGAGCCCUAUGUAGCAAUACAGGGUGAUGGACUGCCUUUUGCAUAAUGAGCCUGCGAGUUGUGGUGUCUGGCAAGGUUAAGCAAACGCGAAGCCGUAGCGAAAGCGAGUCUGAAUAGGGCGCUUAGUCAGAUGCUGCAGACCCGAAACGAAGUGAUCUAUCCAUGAGCAAGUUGAAGCUAGUGUAAGAACUAGUGGAGGACUGAACCCAUAGGCGUUGAAAAGCCCCGGGAUGACUUGUGGAUAGGGGUGAAAGGCCAAUCAAACUUCGUGAUAGCUGGUUCUCUCCGAAAUAUAUUUAGGUAUAGCGUUGUGUCGUAAUAUAAGGGGGUAGAGCACUGAAUGGGCUAGGGCAUACACCAAUGUACCAAACCCUAUCAAACUCCGAAUACCUUAUAUGUAAUCACAGCAGUCAGGCGGCGAGUGAUAAAAUCCGUCGUCAAGAGGGAAACAACCCAGACUACCAGCUAAGGUCCCUAAAUCUUACUUAAGUGGAAAACGAUGUGAAGUUACUUAAACAACCAGGAGGUUGGCUUAGAAGCAGCCAUCCUUUAAAGAAAGCGUAAUAGCUCACUGGUCUAGUGAUUUUGCGCGGAAAAUAUAACGGGGCUAAAGU